CGGGAGUGUCAUCUGUAAAACUUCACAACAGAGUUCUCUUCAUGUUUGGGGGAGCAGUCGUGGGUGUGUGCAGUGAACAGAAGGGGGCCGAGCACACAGCCCUGGGGGCCUCCGGUGUUCAACACUGGAGUGGAAGAGGUUUGGCUGGCAAUCCAAACAGCCUGGAGUCCACUAGUGAGGAAGUCUAAAAACUAGUUUGAGAAUGAGUGCUAAUUGUCGGAUUGUGUUGGAUGCUGAGUGUGAGCCUGCCAGAGCUGAGCAUCAUAAGCCGCCCGGCCCGGGCCCCCAGACCUCGGAAGAGCCUUGCGACUGUACCUGUCCGCGUCUCAAGUGUGAUGAGUUGGGAUAUGGACUUUUACGAAGCAGUGCGAAAACCAACGUAUUUGGCGAAUUGGAAAAAAGGCAUGUUUGUGUAUGUGCUAGAUUAAUAAAGGCCCUCAUAAAAAAUAA
Pseudoliparis swirei is the source of this 450-nucleotide long non-coding RNA. RefSeq lists it as uncharacterized. NCBI's taxonomy places the organism in Eukaryota, Metazoa, Chordata, Actinopteri, Perciformes, Liparidae. The transcript is spliced from 4 exons. The record is from RefSeq and is a predicted model, not a curated record.